CUACGGGAGGCAGCAGUGGGGAAUAUUGCACAAUGGGCGCAAGCCUGAUGCAGCGACGCCGCGUGAGGGAUGACGGCCUUCGGGUUGUAAACCUCUUUCACCAGGGACGAAGCGCGAGUGACGGUACCUAUAGAAGAAGCACCGGCCAACUACGUGCCAGCAGCCGCGGUAAUACGUAGGGUGCGAGCGUUGCCCGGAAUUACUGGGCGUAAAGAGCUCGUAGGUGGUUUGUCGCGUUGUCCGUGAAAUCUCACAGCUUAACUGUGAGCGUGCGGGCGAUACGGGCAGACUGGAGUACUGCAGGGGAGGCUGGAAUUCCUGGUGUAGCGGUGGAAUGCGCAGAUAUCAGGAGGAACACCGGUGGCGAAGGCGGGUCUCUGGGCAGUAACUGACGCUGAGGAGCGAAAGCGUGGGGAGCAAACAGGAUUAGAUACCCCGGUAGUCC
This 445-nucleotide ribosomal RNA is filed under the name uncultured bacterium. RNAcentral's name for it is "bacterial SSU rRNA". It matches the Rfam family "Bacterial small subunit ribosomal RNA", at positions 339 to 796 of the family's 1533-position model. The record is from RNAcentral.